This 253-nucleotide ribosomal RNA is filed under the name uncultured bacterium. RNAcentral's name for it is "partial 16S ribosomal RNA". It matches the Rfam family "Bacterial small subunit ribosomal RNA", at positions 524 to 776 of the family's 1533-position model. The record is from RNAcentral.
UACGUAGGGGGCGAGCGUUGUCCGGAUUCAUUGGGCGUAAAGAGCGUGUAGGCGGCUAGAUAGGUCUGCUGUGAAAACCCGAGGCUUAACCUCGGGACGCCGGCGGAAACCAUCUGGCUAGAGUCCGGAAGAGGAGAGUGGAAUUCCUGGUGUAGCGGUGAAAUGCGCAGAUAUCAGGAAGAACACCCGUGGCGAAGGCGGCUCUCUGGGACGGUACUGACGCUGAGACGCGAAAGCGUGGGGAGCGAACAGG